AGUGAUGCCCGGAGCCACUCCUAGGUAUUACAUUUAAUCAGUCUGGGCAUCAACACUGAAAAAUCUCCCAGGUGAAUCUAAUGUGCAAUCAGGGCUGAGAACCACUGAUUAAGCCCAUAUGGUGGUGCUCAGCAAGUGGCAGAAGACUGAGGAGCUUGGCUCACCUUCAGUCUUGGGCUCAGAGAGAAGCAGAGUCCUGACCUCCUUGCCCCAACUGGCCACUCCGGGGCUGGGAUAAGAUGAGCCCUUGGAAGUAGUUCCUAUUCAGGGAGUUUUCUGGUUAGAACUGAUCCCAUCUCUAGAGGCCAAGUCAAAGAUAAAGGAUUUGAGGAAAGACAGAAACUGUCAGCCAUUUUUUUUGCUUAAUACGGAUCCAUCCUCAAGCAAACAAGUUUGGAAGCAGGGCCUGUGGUCUGGAGGCUGGCUCUGCGUCCCUUCUUGCUGGGUCUGAAUAAAGAGGGGAAGGAGCCUCUGAAGUCGCUUCCAGAAUGCCAUCGUUCUCCUCAGCAGAUGGUGGAGGAGAGAGGCUAAUUGAGAACUCCUGUAGCAUAUAAAACAAAAACCAGCCAAAGGAACCCGCAAGGUGAGCACGCAUUAAGGGAACUUUGUCAUCUUCCUAGAUUCUGCAAGUGAGUGGCUACUUGCCAGAGGGAGAGAAAUGCAGAGAGGCCGAAUUAAAAUGACAACUGGACAACAGAAACUCAUGAUUGUUGUGAAGAUCAAGUGAGACAAAGUAAGUGGUGUGUUCAGCCAACUGUAAAGCACCAUACAAGCUCUUAUUCGUAAACUGGAUCUGAGGACUAGAGGGGAAACAGGGAGAAACUCAGCUUGUGUUCAGAGGAGGCUUAGGCAGAGGCUGGAGGAGAGAGCGCGGCACAUUUGCAGUAAGGAGGUCAAGCAGGAGAGGCGUGAGAUGUGAAAGAAAACCAGGUGAGAUCUUAAAACCAGACAGAGAGGAAGAGUGGGACAUUUCUCUUCUGGUGCUAAGGGAUAAAGCCAAUAGACCCAGCCCUUGGUUAUCUGUGACCAUGGCUCAGAGCGCCCAACGCUAAUAGAACGUCAUCAUCGAUGACGACAACAAAAACAUUCUUUUAGCCAAAGACAUUGUCUCCUUCCUCUCAGCGAACUUUCUUUCUUCAAGCUGCUUUCAAGCAUUUCCCCUCAUUGUUGGCUCUUUUCAGACACCUCUGCAGAGGGGUCUUAAUUUGCAUCACCAUGCGGGAAUCUUUAUCUUGAGCUACAUGGCUCCUCUGAGCUGUAAUAUGCCUGCAGAAAUGUGCUUAGAGUUGAUCUGAAAGUGGUACAAAGACUGACAGCUCCUUUCCUCCUGACUUUGGCCGCCCUUCCCCGAAAUCCUGGCAUCUGCUAAAGGCCCAGUUGUUUUCCAUGGGGGCAAAUAUGCCUGUCUCUCUCUUCAAGCUGACUUAUUGUACAUUCCUUUCAUCUGCUCAGAAUCUGAUUUAAAUAUGAAUCCAUGGAACGCAAACACCCAGCACUCAGAAGAAUUGUAACUUUGUUAUAUUUUGCCCAAUCACAACAAUUGUCUUAUCAUUCUUUGCCUGGUGAUGUUCUGUCAAAAGGGACCAAAUGACGAUGUUUGGAAAGAUAGCAACACAAAUCACGUGAAAGUGAUUUAUUUUUAAUCCACCACACUGCGCUGUCCCCAAGUUAUUUGUGAAUAUGUAUCAAGCUCAAACUUUAAAAUUUUGACAAUUAAUUGGUUUCUUGCAGUUCCAUUAUUUCUCCCUAUCCUCUGAGUUUGAUGUGUGUGGAAAGUUUCCCAAAUACGUAUCUGGUAAAUUACUCCCAGACUCAAAGAUAGCUGCAGUAAAAUUUAAAAAAAUAAAGCUUCAGUCGUUCCUUUAUUUAAUGAA
Long non-coding RNA from Equus asinus (donkey), 1874 nucleotides. The record is from Ensembl. Lineage: Eukaryota; Metazoa; Chordata; Mammalia; Perissodactyla; Equidae.